AGUGAACGCUGGCGGUAGGCCUAACACAUGCAAGUCGAACGGCAGCACAGUAAGAGCUUGCUCUUACGGGUGGCGAGUGGCGGACGGGUGAGGAAUACAUCGGAAUCUACUUUUUCGUGGGGGAUAACGUAGGGAAACUUACGCUAAUACCGCAUACGACCUACGGGUGAAAGCAGGGGAUCUUCGGACCUUGCGCGAUUGAAUGAGCCGAUGUCGGAUUAGCUAGUUGGCGGGGUAAAGGCCCACCAAGGCGACGAUCCGUAGCUGGUCUGAGAGGAUGAUCAGCCACACUGGAACUGAGACACGGUCCAGACUCCUACGGGAGGUAGCAGUGGGGAAUAUUGGACAAUGGGCGCAAGCCUGAUCCAGCCAUACCGCGUGGGUGAAGAAGGCCUUCGGGUUGUAAAGCCCUUUUGUUGGGAAAGAAAAGCAGCAGGUUAAUACCCCGCUGUUCUGGCGGUACCCAAAGAAUAAGCACCGGCUAACUUCGUG
This 492-nucleotide ribosomal RNA is filed under the name uncultured bacterium. Its description in RNAcentral is "partial 16S ribosomal RNA". It matches the Rfam family "Bacterial small subunit ribosomal RNA", at positions 29 to 507 of the family's 1533-position model. The record is from RNAcentral.